GCUUUACUGUAACUUGAAAUUGAAAUUGGACUUUAUUUGCGCAGUAUAGGUGGGAGGCGUUGAGUUUAUUCUUGCGGGAAUUUAGGAGCCAUCAGUGAGAUACCACUCUGGUAAUGUUAGAUUUCUAACUUUGGAUCAUCAUCUGGUCAAAGAACAGUUUCAGGCGGGCAGUUUGACUGGGGCGGUCGCCUCCCAAAUGGUAACGGAGGCGUACAAAGGUUUCCUCUGAACGUGUAGAAAUCGUAUCUAGAGUGUAAAGGCAUAAGGAAGCUUGACUGUGAGACCUACAAGUCGAGCAGGGACGAAAGUCGGUCUUAGUGAUCUGACGGUGCUG
This 334-nucleotide ribosomal RNA is filed under the name Tryblionella compressa. RNAcentral describes it as "bacterial LSU rRNA". It matches the Rfam family "Bacterial large subunit ribosomal RNA", at positions 2098 to 2431 of the family's 2925-position model. The record is from RNAcentral. Lineage: Eukaryota; Bacillariophyta; Bacillariophyceae; Bacillariales; Bacillariaceae.